AGUUUGAUGCCAACGUUCGAUAAAUGCAACGUAUGCCCCACACAGAACGCACUGCAAGGCAAUGCUGCAAGGCAAACGCAGCGUUCCAAUGGAAAUGAAUGUAGUAGUUCUGCUGUACCAAAAUGCAAUGAUGCUGUCGGUGUGCAUAAGCUCCACCCCACUGAUAAUUGUGCUAGAAAACAGAUAGGCAGGUAUUCAAGGUGUGUUACACAGAAGAACAGCACACAGGACAACCAACAAUGCACCUUUUACAGGCAUUUUUCCUGACGUUUGCGGAGACUGUGUUCAGGGUAAACACUGCCCAUGUCGGGUCAAGCGUAAAUUACCUAAAAGUCUGUUCGAACGCUUCGAACACACCGACUGUGUGUUGCAUCACUGCUGCAUAACAUUUUGCGCAGCUAGGCAACUAUACUGAUGCAGGUAUAUUUUGCAGAUGGUCCCAUGCCGUUGGACACGUGGAGGAGAGAAUCAUUUUCGCAGUAUCCUCAAAACCGUGUCUUUUUGACACAACUGCUGACAGCUACAGGGACAUAAACACAAAAAAUGCUGCUUGGAGACAAGUGUCCACAAUAGUAGGAUUGCCAGAAGAAGACUGUAGCGGGAAGUGGAGAGGACUCAGGGACAGGUAUCAGAGAGACAGAAGGGCAGAGAAAGAGAAGAAGAGGUCUGGGUCAGCAGCUUCAGGCCAGCAGCCUUGGUGCUUCUGCCACAUUCUUUUCUGGAUCCAUUUAUUGUGCCUAGGGCAACGAGUGGCAAUUUUACAGCCAGACCCUCUACUACGUCAUCCACAAGUGUUGUCACCACCGGUGCAUCAAGACCCUCUACAUCAUCUACUAGUGCGACCUCCAUUGGUGCAGCGAGACCCUCUACAAUGUCUACAUCAUCCACAAGUAUGACCACCACCAGUGCAGCCAUGGAAGAUGAUGAAAUGGAGGAAGCACCUCUGGAUCUAGGACCAUCUGAGAUUAUUAUGAACCUCACGGAAGUGACCACUGAGGACCUCGUUGAACAGGAUGUGGCCGAGGAGAGAAACAAAGAGGAACAACAUCACACCAGGCGUCAUCGGAGGUACCAGCCCCCAGAUCCAGUCAACUCAUUUCAGCAGAGGCUCCUCCAAGCCGUCGAGAGGGAUGCAGCCCAACCUGAUGCUCACAGGAAGGAGGAUGAAGAGACCCUCUUUGUCAUGACCCUGGUGCCAACACUGAAUAGGCUGCCUCAGCAAAGCAGCAGCAUACCACCCUGCAUCCCACUGCUGGCUUGCUUCGGAAGCUAAGCAGGGUUGGUCCUGGUCAGUCCCUGGAUGGGAGACCAGAUGCUGCUAGAAGUGGUGUUGGAGGGCCAGUAGGAGGCACUCUUUCCUCUGUUCUAAAAAAUUUAAAAUAUCCCAAUGCCCCAGGGCAGUGAUUGGGGACACUGUGUAGGGUGCCGUCUUUCGGAUGGGACGUUAAACAGGUGUCCUGACUCUCUGAGGUCAUUAAAGAUCCCAUGUCACUUAUUGUAAGAGUAGGGGUGUUAACCCCGGUGUCCUGGUUAAAUUCCCAAUCUGGCCCUCAAACCAUAUGGUCACCUAAUAAUCCCCAGUUUCCAAUUGGCUCAUUCAUCCCCCUCCUCUCCCCUGUAACUAUUCCCCCAGGUCGUUGCUGCAAAUGAGAACGUGUUCUCAGUCAACUUACCUGGUAAAAUAACGGAUAAAUAAAUACAUGUAAAAAAGAAAAGAAAAGCAGCAGUUAAAAUGUAUCAGCUGUUUUUCCAAGCCGAGUUCAAUGGUAUGUUUUUUUCUUCUCCACAUCACAGGUAGUGUCAUAAGUGUUGCGACAGUGAAGUAAAGUAGGUCAUUUUUACAUUAUACUCAUGUAGGCUAAUUGGUAUUUCAGAUCAAAGUAUUAAUAUGAGGCAAAUGUAUAGCUGCUGUUUCUGGGUUCGAAAAUAUCCUAAAACAGUUUGCUGUCUAAAUAUUUGCUUGUCAUAUUCAUCUUUUGAUCUGAAAUACAAAUUCCAUGAGUAAACAGCAAGUAUUACCAACUUUACCACACUGUUCCAAUAUUUAUGCCUCUAACUACACUAUACAAGCAGUAUUUAGUUAACAUAAAUCUCACCUUUUAUGGUGUUCUAUUAUGUUAAUUAGUCAAUUUAGCCGACCAGCUCACAGGAAGGACAGGAAGAGGAGUUGUUGUUUUGACCUUGCACGUUGUACCUUUCUUUUCACACAUGUCAGUUCCGUUUAAAUUGUCAAUUCAUGAAGUAAUUUGUUUAUAAAGUCUUAGGAUAGCAUUUAUUAAUAGUGUUACAUAGAUUUCUGAAUUGACAGAAUUGAAACUCAUACACCGGAGAAUUCAGAUGCUCUUGUUGGUCUCUUACAAGACUAAAGGUGAAUAUAUUUAUUUCAUUUAAAACCACUUGAAAACCAGGGUGUUGAAACUGUUUGUGAAGUUAUGUUCCAUCGACUGGUCCAUGACGUCCAGGGGCCAUUUGUUUGUUUAGCUGUGUUAUGGCUACACAUUCUUUUCUUUUUUUCAGAGACAGACACACACCUCUCCUCCACUCCUCUCUGUACCUCAGAUCUCCAGUGCCCUGCCCUCUCUCUUUAUGGCCAUGUCUGAAGUUCCCCUACUACGUCUAGGCUUUAUGAGUAGAGUCCCUGUAUCUGUCUGAAGUUCCCCUACUACGUCUAGGCUUUAUGAGUAGUCCCUGUAUCUGUCUGAACUUCCCCUACUACGUCUAGGCUUUAUGAGUAGUCCCUGUAUCUGUCUGAACUUCCCCUACUACGUCUAGGCUUUAUGAGUAGUCCCUGUAUCUGUCUACAGUUCCCCUACUACGUCUAGGCUUUAUGAGUAGAGUCCCUGUAUCUGUCUGAACUUCCCCUACUACGUCUAGGCUUUAUGAGUAGUCCCUGUAUCUGUCUACAGUUCCCCUACUACGUCUAGGCUUUAUGAGUAGUCCCUGUAUCUGUCUGCAGUUCCCCUACUACGUCUAGGCUUUAUGAGUAGUCCCUGUAUCUGUCUGCAGUUCCCCUACUACGUCUAGGCUUUAUGAGUAGUCCCUGUAUCUGUCUGCAGUUCCCCUACUACGUCUAGGCUUUAUGAGUAGUCCCUGUAUCUGUCUACAGUUCCCCUACUACGUCUAGGCUUUAUGAGUAGUCCCUGUAUCUGUCUGAAGUUCCUCUACUACGUCUAGGCUUUAUGAGUAGUCCCUGUAUCUGUCUGCAGUUCCCCUACAACGUCUAGGCUUUAUGAGUAGUCCCUGUAUCUGUCUGCAGUUGUGCCAAAAAAACAUGCAGAAUACAGGCUACACAUUCAUUUAUUUUUAUUUUUACACACACCUCUCAAUAGUUUUAUGUUUUUAACAUUUUUACAACACACAUACCUGUCAUGUUCUUUCCUGUACUUGAAUACAUAUUAAAUUAUGUUUUCAUAGUCAGUUGUUUAAUUUGUUUAUUAAUAAAUCAUUUAGACUUAAUCUGCUUAUUUCUUCCCUACACCUUUGCAGAUCUAAGACAAGAUGAAAGUAAAAACACAUUCUCUUCCUACCUGUAUUUUGUCAGGCCAGUGAACAUGGUGGUAAACUGUACUAUUUGUAUGGACCCUAGGUUACCCUUUCCCGUUGUUAUCAUACUGUAUGUCGUAUAACCUUAGUGCUCCCGC
RNAcentral lists this long non-coding RNA (3641 nucleotides) under Salmo salar (Atlantic salmon). RNAcentral describes it as "lncRNA (ENSSSAG00000092446.1)". The record is from RNAcentral. Lineage: Eukaryota; Metazoa; Chordata; Actinopteri; Salmoniformes; Salmonidae.